GCCCAGUUAGCUCAGUGGUAGAGCACUCCCUUGGUAAGGGAGAGGUCCCGGGUUCGAGUCCCGGACUGGGCU
This 72-nucleotide transfer RNA is filed under the name Fibrobacterota bacterium. RNAcentral describes it as "Fibrobacteres bacterium tRNA-Thr". It matches the Rfam family "tRNA". Rfam says of the family: Transfer RNA (tRNA) molecules are approximately 80 nucleotides in length. Their secondary structure includes four short double-helical elements and three loops (D, anti-codon, and T loops). Lineage: Bacteria; Pseudomonadati; Fibrobacterota. The record is from RNAcentral. RNAcentral also lists the same sequence under 1 other name.